This 253-nucleotide ribosomal RNA is filed under the name uncultured bacterium. RNAcentral's name for it is "partial 16S ribosomal RNA". It matches the Rfam family "Bacterial small subunit ribosomal RNA", at positions 524 to 776 of the family's 1533-position model. The record is from RNAcentral.
UACGUAGGGUGCGAGCGUUAAUCGGAAUUACUGGGCGUAAAGCGUGCGCAGGCGGUUUUGUAAGCCAGAUGUGAAAUCCCCGGGCUUAACCUGGGAAUGGCAUUUGGGACUGCAAGGCUUGAGUGCGGCAGAGGAGACUGGAAUUCCUGGUGUAGCAGUGAAAUGCGUAGAUAUCAGGAGGAACACCGAUGGCGAAGGCAGCCCCCUGGGUCAAGAUUGACGCUCAUGCACGAAAGCGUGGGGAGCAAACAGG